This is a long non-coding RNA of Pongo pygmaeus (Bornean orangutan), 3957 nucleotides long. RefSeq lists it as uncharacterized. NCBI's taxonomy places the organism in Eukaryota, Metazoa, Chordata, Mammalia, Primates, Hominidae. The record is from RefSeq and is a predicted model, not a curated record. The transcript has 4 exons.
CCGGUCGGAGGGGGCAGCGUGAGCGCCACGGCACGGGGGCGGGGCCUGGCGCGUCCGCCGAGCGCGGGGGUUUGUUUAUUUUCGCUGUUGGUAGCGGCGCUGGUUAGAGGUUCGCCGGUGACGUGAGCGCCCGAGUUGGGGGAGAGGACCAGAACCACCUGCUGGAGAAGGUCGUAGUGGACUAAUUUUACAGGCGAAGUUAAGUGACGUAUCCAAAACUUCACAGCUAAUAAACGACAGAGCCGGCACCCAGCUUUCCAAUUCUGUGAGCUUACCAGCGCAUCACAUUAUCUCCAUAAAUCCCCCUGAUUCAACUAAUAUUAGACGCCCCACAGCUGGACCCUGGACAUGGUGACUCUGAUUCAAUUAUGCAGAUGACCACAAGCCUCUGGGGUUGGCAGAUCCACAAGAAAGAAGGUGCCUGGAUGAAGGAGAGCUACCCACUGACCUGAACACCCAAUUAUGAAAGAUCUCACACUAUAGACUACAAAUGCCAAAUCACCUACUGUGCUCAUACCACCCUCAACCUAGAAAUAAAAUAGAAACGAUUCCUAAAGAAACAGUUGUAAAAAUAACCAGGUAAAAUUUUAUCAACAACAACAAAAAAGUAGUUGGGGUUUCUGCUCAUUAAAUUAGUUUGUAUGGGUAAGCACCACCUAAGUUUCUUGAUUCAUGGCAUGUGUUCUUAAACCAAUUUACUAUCCACUAAAAAUAAAUAGUCAUCAAUAUAUAAAAAGUUGUAUUUCUUGACACUAGCAAUGAACCAUCUGAAAAUGAAAUUAAGAACACAAUUCCACUUACAGUAGCAUCAAAAAGAAUAAAAUAUUUAGAAAUAAAUUUAACCAAAGAAGUGUAAGACAUGUACACUGAAAACUAAAAAACAUGGUUAAAAGAAUGGAAAGACAGCCCAUGUUCAUGGAUUGGAAGACUGAAUAUUGCUAAGAUGGCAGUACUCCCCAAAUUGAUCUACAGAUUCAAUGCAAUUCCUAUCAAAAUUCCAUGUCCCACUUUGUAGAAAUGGACAACUGUUCCUAAAAUUCAUAUGGAAACUUAAGGGACCCCAAAUAAUGAACAGAUGUUGGAAAAGAAGAACAAAGUUCAUGGAUUCACACUUUGACUUCAAAAUUUACUAUAUCAUAAUCAAGACAGUGUGGUACGGUCUGUCAUAGGACAGACACAUAGACCAAUGGAAUAAAAUUGAGUCCAGAAAUAAACCUGUGUGGUCAAUUGGUUUUCAACAAAUGUAUGAAGACAAUUUAAUGAGGAAAGAAUAGUUUUUUUCAACAAAUUGUAUUGACACAACUGGAUAUCUGCAUGCAAAAUAAUGAAGUUGGACCCUUAACUCAUACCGUGUACAAAAACUAAUUCAAAAUUGAACAAAGACCCAAAUGUAAGACUUAAAACUGUGAAGUGCUCUUGUCCUUCCAUCAAAGCUGGUUGGAUGUGAUUUCCGUGUUCAGAUACAAUUUAUGAUACUUGCUUCUUUUGAGCAUGCAUACAUUAGAAGAGCAUUUUUUGAUCAGUAUGUUUACAUGUAGUUCUUACAGCUUUAUAUAUGUGUGAGCUCAGAAACAUAUUUCUAUCUGAAAAAGCACCCCUAAUUUUCUAUUUCCUUACCCUGCUUUACUCUCUCCAUAAGUAAUAUCACUGGACUAUAAGUUCCUUGAGGGAGAGGGCUUUUCGUUUUCAACUCUAUCAGCAAAAAUAUAAAGGUUGAUAGAAAAUAUAAAGCAGGAAAAUGCCUAUAAAUUAAAAGCCUGUAGAAAUUUCCAUUUUUACAUUUUAGCAUUUACAUAUAGAUGCCAUUUUUUUAAUAUUUUUAGAAAAUAAAUAACUUUAGCUACCAGCCCACCCUUUGGAAGAGGUACAGAUUAUUUCCCAUAUAAGAACUAAACCCCACGGUACUGGCCCAUGUCUUGAAGGGUGAAGGGCCAACUGAACUCACAUAAUCAAAUGCUUAAACCUAGCUUCCUUUCUCAUGGGAGAUACUGAAUUUUGUAAUAAACCUUACUAAGAAUACCUCAUACCACUUAAGGUAACUCAGGAAAACUGUUAGUAUUCUUCUUUUCUGAUUUAUUUGUUCGCAAUCCACUAGAAUACUUAAUGAUUGUAGGUUCUAUUACCCUUAAAGUCUUGACCUUCUCCUUCCUUGGCUGCUCAGGUCAUAGGUGCUGUGAUCUAGAGACAAAAUAUUCCUUACACUGGCAGAUACUUGCAAACUAAGGGGAAUGAGCUUCCCCCUGAAUGUUUAUGAAGGAGAGGCCACUGUGGUAAUGUUAACUUUAAUACACUUGUUGUAUUUAGGAGCUAAAAGUCUCAGAUGCUAAAUGAGGACUGAUUUGCUUUUUAUUUGAUCCUAUACAUGUGCAAAAAAAUUAACUUCUUCUUUUAUAGUUUCUUUGGGGAAAAAUAGUUUAAAAUUCUUAUCAGUUUUAAGAAAAGUUAUUUUCCAGCCAUAGUUCAAUAGCUCACAAAUGUAACUGUUACUAAAAAAAAAGUAAUAAAUAGCCAAAAACUAGUGGCCAAAGAUCCAGUAAAAAACAUCUUCUUUCACUCAUAAAUCAAAGAAAUAGUCAUGAAGCACUUCUAUGCAUAUAAAAAUAGAUUCAGCAAGUCUUUAAAAUAUUUUUGCUAGAAUUCACAUUAAUCUUCCCAGAGAAUACUCUUAUUUAUACUGUUGAAACAUACAUACAAAACGUACAUACAAAACAUAUGUACAAAACAUACAUACAAAAUUGGGAAUUUGUUUAGAAGAUAUAUAUAACUAAAACUGAGAAUUUGUUUAGAAGAUGUCUUAUGAUUUGCACAUAUAUAAAAUAAACAACCAUGUGUGCCAAACAGUUAUCCCAUUUUGACAUCCAACUGUAUGGAAAACCUACUUAUAAUUUAAUCGUAAACAUAUAUGAUGUUUCAGUUUUCAAAGUGCUUUCAUUUGAUAAAGCAUUUAUUUGAUAAAGCAUUUAUUUGAUAAAGCAAGACUAUGUAACAAAAAUAUUUACUAUGUAACAAAAAUAGUAAUUUCCCUCCUAAUUACUUUGUGUUUCAUUUGAAAAAUAUGAUUUUGAUAUCAAAUGCAGGGUAGUGAUUCAUAAAUAGUUUUUUAAAGGCUGUUUGGUUUAGAAAAUAUCAUUUAAUGUACUCUAUUAAUAAAAUUAUAGCCUGUGUCAUUCUAGUCAUGUCUAACAGCUGAUGACACCUGGAGCUAGCUAGGAAACUGUCUAGUGAAACAGAUGGGCUUAGCCCCAGGCCUUGAAUGGAACAAUUCAGAUGCUGUCCAACCCUCCCAGGUGAUGGGAAUUUCAAAAGGAGAUUAACUCCUCAGUAUUAAAAUACCUUGCCCUGUUCCCAUUAUUCCCAUCUAGAAAAAGCAUGCUAGAAAGUAACAACAAAACUUUGACUUUAAUAGUUAUAAAUUAUGAAAAUUAUCAGUUAGUUGAACUCAGAUAACUCCUCACUCCUUUUCAUUCCUAGAGGAUAGACAGUGAAGUGCAACUACAGUCUGCAGAUGAAAAUGAAUAACAUUAAUCCAGCCCCUCAAGGCAGGCGAGUAGCUGCUGGUUUGUAAUCUUGAAUUAAAGUUUUUUUAUACACAGGUUUUUCGGUAGACAAAUUCAGGGACAUUUUAGCAGAGGGAAAAAAAUAAGCAAAAUAGUUGAGAUAUCAUUGUUUUAUAAAAAUAAAUCCCAUUUUGCCUACAGCAAUAUUUUGUUUGUUUUGGCAUAUCAUUCAUGGUUCUUCAAAGGUAAAAUCACUUAAGUCCUAAGUGCUUUCCUUCAGUGUAUGUUGUUAAGCCAUUGGAAUUUACCACAAACUGCUAUUUCUUAUAAUUCUCUAUUGAAUGGCUCCACAAUUUCUAUUCAAAUUCAGUCUAGGAUGGCUUCUUUUCAUAAUAUCCUGAGUGAAUAGUAAACAUAGGAAAAGGAACCAGUAUAAAAAUAUACCAGUAUGAAAAAUAAA